This 258-nucleotide ribosomal RNA is filed under the name uncultured Leptotrichia sp. RNAcentral describes it as "partial 16S ribosomal RNA". It matches the Rfam family "Bacterial small subunit ribosomal RNA", at positions 97 to 354 of the family's 1533-position model. The record is from RNAcentral. Lineage: Bacteria; Fusobacteriati; Fusobacteriota; Fusobacteriia; Fusobacteriales; Leptotrichiaceae.
GGCGGACGGGUGAGUAACGCGUAAAGAACUUGCCCUUUAGACUGGGAUAACAGAGGGAAACUUCUGAUAAUACUGGAUAAGUUAGUAUAUCGCAUGAUAUACAAAUGAAAGCUACGGCACUAAAGGAGAGCUUUGCGUCCUAUUAGCUAGUUGGUAAGGUAAGAGCUUACCAAGGCGAUGAUAGGUAGCCGGCCUGAGAGGGUGGACGGCCACAAGGGGACUGAGAUACGGCCCUUACUCCUACGGGAGGCAGCAGGC